Molecule: long non-coding RNA, 368 nt
Organism: Xenia sp. Carnegie-2017
Lineage: Eukaryota; Metazoa; Cnidaria; Anthozoa; Malacalcyonacea; Xeniidae
Exons: 2
Source: RefSeq, a predicted model, not a curated record
GUUGGCUACCCCGAUUUAUCUGGCGCUGACUCUGUCACAAACACGUUGAACCGUCUUUUUUCGUUUGCCGCUGAUUUAAGAAGUUUUAGAACGACUCGUGAACGAGAAUGCAAGAUGAAGCUUUUUCAAGAAACAGUUUUCCUGUUAAGAGAUCGUUUUUCAGAAAUUACAACGGACAAGAAGUGUUAAAAAUGAAUGACACACGUCAUAAUACCUCGUUCAACUAGACAUUUUUUGCACUCUUGAAAAUCCUUAAAAAUGUAUUGAAAGUUUUGUUAAAAUUGUUUUAAUUUCAUGCUAUCUAGUUGGUAAUAAGUCCAAUUAGUAAAUCACAAUGUUUGUUAUGUAAUAAACUCACAGUGUGUUAA